GACGAACGCUGGCGGCGUGCUUAACACAUGCAAGUCGAGCGAGGCCCCUCCUUCGGGAGGGCGUCCUAGCGGCGAACGGGUGAGUAACACGUGGGCAACCUGCCCUCAGCUCUGGGAUAACUCCGGGAAACCGGGGCUAAUACCGGAUACGACCUCCACGGGCAUCUGCGGAGGUGGAAAGUUUUUCGGCUGAGGAUGGGCCCGCGGCCCAUCAGCUAGUUGGUGGGGUAGUGGCCCACCAAGGCGACGACGGGUAGCCGGCCUGAGAGGGCGACCGGCCACACUGGGACUGAGACACGGCCCAGACUCCUACGGGAGGCAGCAGUGGGGAAUAUUGCGCAAUGGGCGAAAGCCUGACGCAGCGACGCCGCGUGAGGGACGAAGGCCUUCGGGUUGUAAACCUCUUUCAGCAGGGACGAAGCGAAAGUGACGGUACCUGCAGAAGAAGCACCGGCCAACUACGUG
RNAcentral lists this ribosomal RNA (465 nucleotides) under uncultured bacterium. RNAcentral's name for it is "partial 16S ribosomal RNA". It matches the Rfam family "Bacterial small subunit ribosomal RNA", at positions 28 to 507 of the family's 1533-position model. The record is from RNAcentral.